RNAcentral lists this ribosomal RNA (354 nucleotides) under uncultured fungus. RNAcentral describes it as "eukaryotic LSU rRNA". The stretch from base 1 to 71 matches the Rfam family "5.8S ribosomal RNA", at positions 84 to 154 of the family's 154-position model. The record is from RNAcentral. Lineage: Eukaryota; Fungi.
GUGAAUCAUCGAGUCUUUGAACGCACAUUGCGCCCCUCGGUAUUCCGGGGGGCAUGCCUGUUCGAGCGUCACAAAAAAGCAAAUCGGGCCCCGUAUGUAGUGUACGGUGCCGCCCGACGUUGGGCGAUUGGGCCGCCGCACUUGUAUCCUUAACUGGCAUAUUUCUCUGCGGCCCCGCCUCAAAUACAAUGGCAGCGGCGCGGAGCCCCGAGCGUACCAGGACUUGUAACGAGUUUUCGCUCCGUGGGCCACCGUGCUCCGCAAUCGCCCCGCAACGAACCCCCUUUGGGGCGCCCCUAAGAAAGGCGCGACAAGAUUGACCUCGGAUCAGGUAGGGAUACCCGCUGAACUUAA